RNAcentral lists this ribosomal RNA (253 nucleotides) under uncultured bacterium. RNAcentral's name for it is "partial 16S ribosomal RNA". It matches the Rfam family "Bacterial small subunit ribosomal RNA", at positions 524 to 776 of the family's 1533-position model. The record is from RNAcentral.
UACGUAGGGUGCGAGCGUUGUCCGGAAUUAUUGGGCGUAAAGGGCUCGUAGGCGGUUUGUCGCGUCGGGAGUGAAAACCCAGGGCUUAACUCUGGGCUUGCUUUCGAUACGGGCAGACUAGAGGUAUGCAGGGGAGAACGGAAUUCCUGGUGUAGCGGUGAAAUGCGCAGAUAUCAGGAGGAACACCGGUGGCGAAGGCGGUUCUCUGGGCAGUACCUGACGCUGAGGAGCGAAAGCCAGGGGAGCAAACGGG